Molecule: long non-coding RNA, 2247 nt
Filed under: Oryctolagus cuniculus (rabbit)
Lineage: Eukaryota; Metazoa; Chordata; Mammalia; Lagomorpha; Leporidae
Description: lncRNA (ENSOCUG00000039501.1)
Source: RNAcentral
GGUGUGUGGAGAUCCAACCCCACUGGAAGGGCCAGAUACCUCAAGGAAGAUGGAUCCUACCUGCUCUGUGGAUUUUGGGCUGAUGAGCCUGAAGCACCAGCCCAGGCCUGGUCUGAGACUGUGAAAUGUACAAUCCAGCAGCCCGUCUGCUGUGCUGAGGCCAAUGUGGUGGAAGACCUUUCCUACAAAAAGGAGGAAGGGGAGGUGGCAACUGCAGUCCAGGCUGAGCCUAUCCCCAGGGUGUGUGGAGAUCCACCCCCACUGGAAAGGCCAGAUGUCAUCCUGCCUAUCCUGAAGGAUGACAGAUCCUACAUGCUCUGUGGAUAUUGGGCUGUUGAGUCUGGAACACCAGUGCAGGUUUCUGCUGAGCCUUGGCACCUUACAGCCCAGCAGCCCAUCUGCUGUGCUGAGGCCAUUGUGGUGGAAAACCCCUACCACCAAAAGGAGGAAGUGGAGUUGGCAUCUACAGACCAGGCCGAGGCUAUCCCCAGGGUGUGUGGAGAUCCACCCCCACUGGAAGGGCCAGAUGCCAUCGUGCCUAUCCUCAAGGAUGAUGGGUCCUACAUGCUCUGUGGAUACUGGGCAGAUGAACCUGAAGCACCAGCCCAGGCCUGGGCUAGGGCCUGGCACUUUACAACCCAGCAACCCCUCUGCUGUGCUGAGGCCAUUGUGGUGGAAGACUCCUCAAACAAAAAGGAGAAAGUCAAGGGGGCAUCCUCAGAUCAGGCUGAGGCUAUGUCCAGGGUGGGUGAAGAUCCACCCCCACUGGAAGGGCCAGAUGUCAUCACACCUAUCCUCAAGGAUGAUGGGUCCUACAUGCUCUGUGGAUUUUGGGCAGAUGAUCCUGAAGCACCAGUCCAGGCCUGUGCUGAGCCCUGGUACCUUACAACCCAGAAGCCCAUUUGCUGUGCUGAAGCCAUUGCGGUGGAAGAGCCUUCCUGCAAAAAGGAGGAAGGGGACUCAGCAUCUGCAGAGCAGGCCGAGGCUAUACCCAGGGUGUGUGGAGAUCCACCCCCACUGGAAGGGCCAGAUGCCAUCGUGCCUAUCCUCAAGGAAGAUGGAUCCUACCUGCUCUGUGGAUAUUGGGCUGAUGAGCCUGAAGCACCAGUCCAGGCCUGGGCUGGGGCCUGGCACUUUACAACCCAGCAGCCCAUCUGCAGUGCUGAGGACACUUUGGUGGAAGAGCCCUCAUUUCAAGAGGAGGAAGGUGUGGUGGCACCUGCAGACCAGGCUGAGGCUAAUCAGAGCCUCUGCUCUGCAUCACACCUCGGGGUGUGUGAAGAUCCACCCCCACUGGAAGGGCCAGAUGUCAUUGUGCCUAUUCUCAAGGAUGAUGGGUCCUACAUGCUCUGUGCAAUUUGGAUGGAUGAUCCUGAAGCACCAGUCCAGGCCUGGGCUGGAGCCUGGCACCCUACAACCCAGCAGCCCAUCUGCUGUGCUGAGGCCAUUGUGGUGAAAGAUGCCACCUACCAAAAAGAGAAAGUCAUGUUGGCAACUGCUGAUUGGGCUGAGGCUACCUCCAGGGUGAGUGGAGAUCCACCCCCACUGGAAGGGCCAGAUGCCAUCGUGCCCAUCCUCAAGGAUGAUGGGUCCUACAUGCUCUGUGCAUAUUGGGCUGAUGAGCCUGAAGCCCCAGUCCAGGCCUGGGCUGGGGCCCUGCACCCUAUAAUCCAGCAGCCCAUCUGCUGUGCGGAGGCCAUUGUGGUGGAAGAUGCCUCCAGCCAGAAGGAGAAAAUAGAGGUGGCAUUUGCAGAGCAGACUGAGGCCACACCCAGGGUGGGUGAAGAUCCACCCCCACUGGAAGGGCCAGAUGUCAUCGUGCCUAUCCUCAAGGAUGACGGAUCCUACCUGCUCUGUGCAUAUUGGGCAGAUGAGCCUGAAGCCCCAGUCCAGGCCUGGGCUGGGGCCCUGCACCCUACAGCCCAGCAGCCCACCUGCUGUGCUGAGGCCAUUCUCGUGGAAGAGCCCUCAUCACAAGAGGAGGAAGGGAAAGUGGCACGUGCAGACCAGGCCGAGGCUAAUCAGAGGGUGUGUGGAGAUCCACCCCCACUGGAAGGGCCAGAUGUCAUUGUGCCUAUCCUCAAGGAUGAUGGUUCCUAUGUGCUCUGUGCAUAUUGGGCAGAUGAGCCUGAAGCACCAGCCCAGGUCUGGGCUGAGGCCUGGCAUGCAAAAACCCAGCAGUCCAUCUGCUGUGCUGAGGCUUUUUGGGUGCUAAGAACUUCCUCUGGUGGAUACCAUGAAACCUGA